UGUUAAAUUUUCUAUCAAUUUGUACGGUUAAAAAUUGACCAGCCUGAUUGAAUAACCAGACCGUGACACGUCCUGUGCCAUGUGUACGCCAUGUCGAUGCACAGAGAUCAAUUUUUAGUGUAAAAAUGGGCAGAAUUUUUAACA
Gossypium hirsutum (cotton) is the source of this 144-nucleotide non-coding RNA. Lineage: Eukaryota; Viridiplantae; Streptophyta; Magnoliopsida; Malvales; Malvaceae. The record is from Rfam.